RNAcentral lists this long non-coding RNA (297 nucleotides) under Chloebia gouldiae (Gouldian finch). RNAcentral describes it as "Erythrura gouldiae (Gouldian finch) lncRNA (ENSEGOG00005000175.1)". Lineage: Eukaryota; Metazoa; Chordata; Aves; Passeriformes; Passeridae. The record is from RNAcentral.
AGAACUUGAACAUGACUGCAAGUACUAAAACAGCUCAGGGAGAUUCAGGGAGAUAGAGCAGUGUCUGGAAAGAGAUGUGACUUUUCUGCUUGCUGUGCUAUCAACAGUGCAGUCUUUUAAAUUGUGGGGAACAAAACAUCAUUUAACAGAAAUUGAGACAUCAAAAACAGUGUGCUGUUUGUGCUACUGAGUAACUCCACUGGGAAUUUGGAAAACCAGAAGCAAGUCUUGAAUGUUUGUUAUUUCCUUGAAGACCUUAACAGUGCUAGGAAUUAGUGCAGCAACCAGAGAACAUGU